Long non-coding RNA from Homo sapiens (human), 2663 nucleotides. RefSeq lists it as uncharacterized. Lineage: Eukaryota; Metazoa; Chordata; Mammalia; Primates; Hominidae. The transcript has 2 exons. The record is from RefSeq and is a predicted model, not a curated record.
AGAAAUGAAUUUACUGUGGGUGCAAGAAGAAGGUCCUCAAAUUCUUAUUGACUGUCAGCUGACAGACAUUCCCAGCUUCUUAGAGCCUGUCACACUGCUUGGCUCAUGGUCCCCACUUGCAUCUUCAAAGCUAGAAAUGAAGGAUGAAGUACUUCUCAUAGUGAGUCUUUUUAACCCACCCUUCUGCCUUUCCCUUCCUCUCUUGAGGACUCAAGUCACUAGACUGGCCCCUCUGCCCCCAGAUAAUCCAGGAUGAUCCCCCCCAUCUCUAGAUCUAUACCGUUAAUCACACUGCAAACUCUCCUUUGCCAUGUUUAAGGUAACAUAGUCACAGGUUUGGUGGGUUAGGGGUAGACGUUGUUGUGUGUGUGUGUGUGUGGGCAGGCUUUUAUUGAAAGCCCUAUAGUUUCCCCAUUGAGUUGUUUUAGAACAUUUGUGAAAAGUAAAUUUUCCAUAAAGGCAGGAAUUUGUUUCUGGACUCAAUUAUUUUCCAUUGAUGUGCAUGCGUCUAAGCUUGUGCCAGCACCACGUUGUCUUGAUUACUGUGGCUUUAACAAAAUUUUUGAAAUCAAGUAGUUCUUUGUUUUUAACAGUAUUUUGUUUUUAACAGGUUGUCGGAAUAUGCAGAUAAGUUUUAGCAUCAGCUUAUGAAUUUUUGCAAAAAAAAGCCUGCUGGGCUUUUGAAUUGUGUUGAAUUUCUAAACUAAUUUGGAGAGAAUUUCCAUCUUGAGUCUUCUAAUCCAUCAAUAUGAAAUGUCUAUUUAUGUACAUAUUUAAUUUCUCUCAGCAACAUUUUGUAGUUUUCAAUAGAUGUCAUCUUCUUUUGUUAAUUUCCAAAAAGUUUACAUUUUCAUAUGUGUGAAUGAAAUUUUCUUCAUUUAAUUUUUGUGUUUUUGUAUUUCUAGUAUAUAAAAAUGCAAUUGAUUUUUAUAUAUUGAUCUUGUAUCCCAAGGCCUUCCUAAACUCAUUGAUGAGUUCUAGAUUUUUUUAAUGGAUUUUUUGGGAUUCUCUCCAUAUAGAAUCAUUUUCUUUUUAAAUAAAGACAGUUUUACUCCUUUAUUUCCACUUUGGAUACAUUUAAUUAGUUGAUUGAUUGAUUGGUUGGUUGUUUUCUUGGAAUGGCUAGAAAAUCCAGUAUAAUUGUGAAUACAAAUAAUAAAAGUAGACAUCUUUCUACUGUUCUUAAGGGGGGAUUUUCAGUCUUUUGCCAUUAGAUAUGAUGUUACCUGUAGUGUUUUCCUAAAUUCUUUUUGUCAGUUUAAAAAGCGUUUGUUCUAUUUCCAGUUUUUUAAGAUUUUUUUUUUAAAUCAUAAAUAGGUCUUACAUGCCGUCCAAUUAUUUUCCUACAUCUGUUGAGAUAAUCACGGAGUAUUUUAGUCCUUUAUAAAUUGAAUGUGAUUGGUAUAUUACAUUAAAUUGGUUUUUGGAUGUCAAAUGAACCCAGCAUUCUUGGAUAAACCCCAUCGGGUCAUAGUAUAUAAUCAUUUUUAUAUUUUGCUGGAUUCACUUUUUUAAUACUUUGUUAAGGAAUUUUGCAACCAUGUUAAUGAGAGAUACUGGUCUGUGAUGUUUUUCCUCUUGUGAUAUCUUUGGCUUUGCUAUCAGGGUACUACUAGCCUUGUAAAAUGAUUUGGGAUUGUUCCUUAGUCCACUAUCUUCUGAAACAUCAACAGUAAGUGAUGAACUGCCAUGAUUUCUUCUGUGACUAUUUGAUAGAACUUACCAUAGAGGCCAGUUGGGCCUAGGCUUUUCUUUGUGGGAAGAUUUCGAAUCCCCUAGUUCAGUUUCUGUGCUUGCCAUGGAUGUAUUCAGAUUUUCUAUUUCUUCUUGACUGAGUUUCAGUAAUGUGUGAUGCUUAGGAAUGUGCCUGUUUCGUCCACGUUGUCUAACGUUUCACGACAGGACUGUUCAGAACAUCCGCUGUCUCUCCUUUAGUGUGACAAGGCUUUCUUCCUCUGCCAACCGUCUGUGUGCGGGUAAGCGGCGCAGCCGCAGUCCGGGGCGUUUUCACGUGUGCGCUGGAUUUCCGUUUCCUCAACGCUCGCAUCUCUCGGGCACGCCGCGCCCUUCGGGGCGGAGUCUCGGCCUGCACCCUCCCUCGCAUGCGCCGUGUCUGCAGGCGGCAACCGCUUACCAGGGUCAACCUCAGGCGAGUAGAGCAGCGGGAGGCACAUGGCAGCCACGGUUCGAAGCCAGGACGGUUCGAAGCCAGCCGUUUGCCAGCUUUUGUAUGACCUAGCUUUCCCACGGGACCGCUGUGGGCCUCCCAGUCCCUCCUGCCGCCCCGCGGGCCCUGGCGCUGCCGUCUCCCCAAAGCCACAGAGGCCCUUCCAGCAGCAGAAAACCCUCUACAGUUCGUCCCACCCUGGACAAGGUGGGCAGCCCAGGCCAGAGUGACAUAGUUCCCACGUUUUUCCCAGAAGUUCGACAGUUUUUAAGCAUCCGUGCCUCUCAAAUUUGUGUUAAGCCUUUGCUCAAUUUCUACAGUAUGGAAAUGGAUGAUUUUGUUCAUUUUUUUUCAGCUUUGUGCUUGCCUAUUUGGAAGACAAUUUCCUGAUCUCAUUUAGCAAUAGCUAAAAGUGCUAUCUCUUUUUUUCACAAAUCUUUUUUAAGUAAACUGCAUACAAUACUGAAAAUAAAAAUAAAAUACGAAUCCAUCAUGA